UGAGCCAUGCCGCCUAGAAAAGCUUCUAAGCGUCGAUAUUUGAGUGACCGUACCGCAAACCGACACUGGUAGGUGGGUAGAAUAUACCAAGGGGAGCGAGAGAACCCUCGUUAAGGAAUUAGGCAAAUUUCCCCCGUACGUUCGCAAUAAGGGGGGCCUCUGGUGGUGAGCUUAAUCGCAAAGCUGCUGGAGGCCGCAGAGAAAUGGCUCUUCCAACUGUUUAACAAAAACACAGGUCUCUGCUAAGUCGAAAGACGAAGUAUAGGGGCUGACGCCUGCCCAGUGCUGGAAGGUUAAGGGGAGAGGUUAGGGGUAACCCGAAGCUUUGAGCCGAAGCCCCAGUGAACGGCGGCCGUAACUAUAACGGUCCUAAGGUAGCGAAAUUCCUUGUCGGGUAAGGUCCGACCCGCACGAAUGGCGUAAUGAGAGGAGCACUGUCUCAACGAGGGACUCGGCGAACAUUGAAGGACGUGUGAAGAUACACGUGACCCGCAGCGGGACAAAAAGACCCCGUGAAGCUUUACUACAACUUGCCAUUGAGUUAGGGCUAAAUCUGUGUAGUAUAGGUGGGAGGCUUUGAAGCUGGGGCGCCAGUCUCGGUGGAGCCACCGUUGAAAUACCACCCUGAUUUAGUCUUGGCUCUAACCUGUCGCCGUUAUCCGGCAUGGGAACAGUGGCUGGUGGGUAGUUUGACUGGGGCGGUCGCCUCCGAAAGCGUAACAGAGGCGCCCAAAGGUUCCCUCAGGCUGAAUGGAAACCAGCCGUUGAGUGUAAAGGCACAAGGGAGCUUGACUGCAAGACCAACAAGUCGCGCAGGGACGAAAGUCGGGCUUAGUGAUCCCACGGUUCAGAGUGGAAUGGCCGUGGCUUACCGGAUAAAAGCUGCUCCGGGAUAACAGGGUAGUCUGGUCCAAGAGUUCAUAUCGACGACCAGGUUCGCCACCUCGAUGUCGGCUCAUCACAUCCUGGGGCUGGAUAGGGUCCCAAGGGUUGGGCUGUUCGCCCAUUAAAGUGGUACGUGAGCUGGGUUCAGACCGUCGUGAGACAGGUCGGUCUCUAUCCGCUGUGGGCGUAAGGGAUUUGAGAGAAGCUGCUCCUAGUACGAGAGGACAGGAGUGUCACAGACCUCUAGUGUGCCAGUUGUCGUGCCAACGGCAUUGCUGGGUAGCUACGUCUGGCAGAGAUAACCGCUGAAAGCAUCUAAGUGGGAAACUCGUCUCAAGAUUAGAUCCCUCAUCCGUAUGGAGUAAGACCGCUAGAAGACGACUAGUAUGAUAGGCGGCAGGUGUAAGCGCAGUAAUGUGUUCAGCUUAGCCGUACUAAUGGUCGAGGGCUUACGUUG
Molecule: ribosomal RNA, 1342 nt
Filed under: metagenome
Description: bacterial LSU rRNA
Rfam family: Bacterial large subunit ribosomal RNA
Source: RNAcentral